GAUGAACGCUGGCGGCGUGCCUAAUACAUGCAAGUCGAGCGAACAGACGAGGAGCUUGCUCCUUUGACGUUAGCGGCGGACGGGUGAGUAACACGUGGGUAACCUACCUAUAAGACUGGGAUAACUUCGGGAAACCGGAGCUAAUACCGGAUAAUAUUUCGAACCGCAUGGUUCGAUAGUGAAAGAUGGCUUUGCUAUCACUUAUAGAUGGACCUGCGCCGUAUUAGCUAGUUGGUAAGGUAACGGCUUACCAAGGCAACGAUGCGUAGCCGACCUGACAGGGUGAUAGGCGGCACUGGAGGUGGGACACGGUCCAGACUACUACGGGAGGCAGCAGUAGGGAAUCUUCCGCAAUGGGCGAGAGCAUGACGGAGCAACGGCGCGUGAGAGAUGAAGGUCUUGGGAUCGUGAAGCUCGGUUAUUGGGGAAGAACAAACGUGUAAGUAACUGUGCACGUCUUGACGGUACCUAAUCAGAAAGCCACGGCUAACUACGUG
This 497-nucleotide ribosomal RNA is filed under the name uncultured bacterium. RNAcentral's name for it is "partial 16S ribosomal RNA". It matches the Rfam family "Bacterial small subunit ribosomal RNA", at positions 28 to 507 of the family's 1533-position model. The record is from RNAcentral.